This 84-nucleotide transfer RNA is filed under the name Brassica oleracea var. oleracea. It matches the Rfam family "tRNA". Rfam says of the family: Transfer RNA (tRNA) molecules are approximately 80 nucleotides in length. Their secondary structure includes four short double-helical elements and three loops (D, anti-codon, and T loops). Further hydrogen bonds mediate the characteristic L-shaped molecular structure. tRNAs have two regions of fundamental functional importance: the anti-codon, which is responsible for specific mRNA codon recognition, and the 3' end, to which the tRNAs corresponding amino acid is attached (by aminoacyl-tRNA synthetases). tRNAs cope with the degeneracy of the genetic code in two manners: having more than one tRNA (with a specific anti-codon) for a particular amino acid; and 'wobble' base-pairing, i.e. permitting non-standard base-pairing at the 3rd anti-codon position. Lineage: Eukaryota; Viridiplantae; Streptophyta; Magnoliopsida; Brassicales; Brassicaceae. The record is from Rfam by way of RNAcentral.
GUCAGGAUGGCCGAGUGGUCUAAGGCGCCAGACUCAAGUUCUGGUCAUCGAAAGAGGGCGUGGGUUCAAAUCCCACUUCUGACA